This 4920-nucleotide unclassified non-coding RNA is filed under the name Pomacea canaliculata. RNAcentral describes it as "monocarboxylate transporter 13-like, transcript variant X4". The record is from RNAcentral. Lineage: Eukaryota; Metazoa; Mollusca; Gastropoda; Architaenioglossa; Ampullariidae.
CCGCGCGCCUUACACAGCAACAUAACUGGCCUGCUAGCCUCUUCCCCACCCCACCCCACCAUCACCAUCACCUCCUCCUCCUCCAUCCCGACAAGCUAUCAGCUGACGGUCGUACGGGCCGAGGGCCGUGCUGCGCGCCUUGUUGCCAAGUGCAGUGUCGCAGGCUGCGUGACGCGGCCGCCAGUGCCGGACAUGACCUUCACCAUGCGCUGUCGCCGUGCCUCCUGGCAAGUGACGUCGAGACUCUUGACCGGCGCGUGACGUCGCCUGGACACCUGUUUCCGCCUGACGUCAGCAGCGGCUGCGGAGUGCUACUCACGUCCCGGGCUGUCAGCUGGCGUGCGUGUCAGUUUCAUGACAAGGACAUGCCGCCGAGACUGCGCCAGCCUGAAAUAGCAGCAAUCAAUGGCCAGUAUAGGGCUACGGCAGGCGCACCGCGUUCCCACGCUCGUCGAUGGCAGCAGCAGCAGCGGCGGCGUGCAGCACUGUAACUUCUGUAAGCCAAUGAUCAGUGACAGAUGAUCAGAAAUCGGGACAGCAGUCGCUGGUUGUUGUGCUCUUCACUGGUGGCCUCAUCAGGCAGCAGGAGCCCAAUACACUGCUGUCUUAAUCAGCUGUGGUCUCCGCACGCACAUCGACGACAGCAACACCGUGUGGAUUCGCGAUAGCGCCGCGGUGGUGUACAAAGCCUCGCUGUCUCUUGCUGCGAGCACCGCACGUGCAAAUGACACAGGUCGGCAUCAAGGACAGCGCAGCUCGCUAUUAAUACAUCAUUUCACUCCACUCUGCUCGGCAGCAGACACGACUGCAGGUGAUUAUGAGUCCGCGAGACUGUUGCCAAGUACGAAAAGUCUUGCGCAGGUAACUACACGCAGUCGGUAGUACUGCCGAUCGCUUCCCAAAAUCCAAGUUCUAGUGCGGCCGACGAAAUGGAUGUAAAGGUCAGGGAGGAUCACACCUGCUGACCUUGCGUGAACGUACUGCGUGCCAGACGGCUUCAGACUGACAGCUCAGUCGUCUGGCUCUGCUGCUGCGGUCAACUCAAGCGGGAGAUGACACUCGGUAAAACCCGAGGUUUUAAAUGGCGCCUCUACCGUUGCCGUGAGAUGAGCCAUUGGUACCGGUUUCUAUCAUCUGGUUUACCAGCGGGCCUCCUGGUAGCAGUGCGGCAUCAGCGUUGACGGAGGGACCAUGGAGGUUGUCGGACGGUGCCUGCCUAGUAGAGGUCUACACACACUGAGCGAGUGAACGCUUGUGUACUCACGUACUGUGUGAGUAAGCGUGUGUGUACACAUAUAUAAGUGAACGUGGCACUCGCCUCCCGUGGAGCCAUGCACGGCACUGCGCAGUUGCCAGGCGGGUUAUGCAACCAGUUCGGUCGCCCUGGAAACGCCGCUUUUUCUCUUGUCGUCUGCGGGGGCUACUCGCCAUUGUGGCUGACAACUGUGACUGGCAAGUCCAGCUAACGACUGCAGCUGGCAAGUUUGGCCUACGCCUGUCGCACACAAAACAACAGGGAGGCAGUCAUGGGGGCUGGCUGAAGAGGUGGGGUGGACACACUUUGGCACCGUACCGCCAACCCUGGCCACCGCCUGCCAGCAGAAGGAGGCAACUAAAUCGUUCUCUUGACACCGUCACUCACAGCACUUCUGAUGAAGCAGCGUGUUCAUAGUGGAAUAACCGGGCCAGCAAACUCUGACGAGUGAAACAGGAACAAGUGCACACUUUGCUGGCAAUCUGAACAGUGUUAAUGAGUGUCAACACCAAUAAGAACAUGGCGCAUUAGUCUAGACUGGAGCCCUAAGAAUCUGUCCGUCAACACAGAAAGUAUUAGGGACAGGACAAGGAGAGAACCAUCACUCUCUACAAUAUAUGGAAGCGUUCUGUUCGUGUCGCAAGACAAACCUCGGCACACUGCGUUCGCUCCCAGCAUCUCGGCUAGCCAAAACUUCUUGUUGACGUAGCUGGAGGUCCCAAACCAGUCCUCGCCCAGUGCCGACUGAAAGUGAGAGGUAACGUGUGUGUGUGUCCGGCAUGCCCUCGUCGUCUGGGCCCGGACCUGAGCCAGGUGUCGCCGUGGGCAGCAGCGCCCAGGAAAAGCACCCGCUGUAUAGACUGAGCAGCAACGACAGCACCCGCAGCGCAGACGUCACCACCUCUAACAACCACGCUUCGUACGGCGCGCCGCAGCCUCGUGUGGAGAGACUGGUCAGCAGCAGUAGCAGCAGCAGUACUAGCACCAGCGGAAACCCCAAGGCAUGCAGAGAAACUAACGGCAUGGGGGCACAGGACGCCAAGGUGGCGGCCAUAGCGGCAGCCACGGGGCGCCCUGACCUAGCCGACCAUUUCCCUGACGGCGGCUGGGGGUGGGUGGUGGUCGCCGCCGCCACCUGCGUGCACGUGCUGUGUAGCGGCAUUCACCUCGCCUUCGGCACCCUCUCCUUGCACAUCCGCGAGCACUUCUCUACUGACGACAUCGAAACAACUUGGUUAGGGAGUCUUGGAGUCGGCAUCUCGCUCUUCAUCGCCCCAUUCAUCACAAUCAUUUGUCGGAGAAAGAGUCCGCGACUGUAUGGAGUCAUCGGCGGCCUCAUCUGUGCGCUGGGUUGUCUUUUCUUGGCUUUCUCUAACAAACCUGAGCAGCUCUUCAUCUCCCACUGCGUUGUCAUGUCUUUGGGAAGUGGCGUUACCAUAGCAACAGCCAACAUCAUGGUCGGGAGGUAUUUCAAACGACGGCGGGAGAUUGCUGAAACCAUUUUAGUGGCGGGGUCUGGUCUGGGCACAGCGCUCACAUCUUUUCUCUUUCAUCAGCUUAUCAGCAGCAUCAAGUGGAUGCACGGCUUGCAGUGCAUGGCGGGGCUGCUGAUCCUGACCAUCAUUGCUGGGGCACUGUACCGCUCCGCCUCACUGUACCACCCGCGCCGUGACGUCAUCCUCCACCUCAAGUCGCAGAAGAAGAACCGCCGCGACCGGGAGGCGGAGAAGCCGCCAUACUUGGACUUCAGCGCACUGCGCAUGCGCUCGCUGCAGGCCCUGAUGGUCAUCGCCGCUGUCGUGGGCAUCGGAAUCCACGUGCCAUUUGUUCUGCUGGUUCGGACGGCGAAGCAGGCAGGUGUGGACGCCUAUCACCUGCUGCUGCACAGCGUGUACGUGGGCUUGGGCUUCGUGCUGGGCUGCGCGGCACUGGGCUACGUCACCAUCCGCACCAGCGCCGACUGCUUCAUCUGCCGGCGCCACCUAGUGCAGACGGCCGCCAUCGCCGGGGGCGUGUUGACGCUGUUGCUGGUGAUGGCGCGCGACGCCAGCGCCUUCUCUCUCUACGCCUGGGCUUACGGCAUGGCUGCUGGCGCCUACUACCUCGGCCUCAAGCUCUACGCCCUGGAGCUGGUCAGCCAGCAGCUCAUGGAGCGCGCCUGGAGCUUUCUGUCCGCCGUGCAGUGCUUCCCUUUCCUGUUUGGCGCGCCAGUGGCUUCCUACCUGAAGGCGGCUUACCAGACGGACGAUGCAGGCUACGUGUUCGCCGGCACCACUAUGGUUGCUGGCGGGCUGCUCUUCUACUCCAUGCCCUACUUCGAGCGGCACGCCUCCAACCACGUGGUGUUGCAGAAGCAGACCAGCACGUGCUCCUCCACCAUGACUGCGGAGGCUGCGGCUCUGCUGGAAGUGGACCUGUCGGAUGGGGGCGGAGGCGGCGGUUGCAAGGUCUCCAACCACCUGCACUGCGUGCUGGCGCCGCGCGCGUGCCGCAGUGUAGGCAUGGGCAAAGAUGUUGGCCGGGGAUGCCAGGCCCCGGGCCCGCAGCACGGCAAGGAACGCGAGCGCAACGGCGGCGGCAAGGCCACGGUGCUGUCCCGCAUCAUGGAGGAGCGCGACGCCGCGCGGUGCUCGCCCGAUGCCGCGUGCAGAGCUGCAUCCUGCAGUAGGGGCAGCAACUCUGUGGAGCAGACCUCCGCCAAACAGGAAAACGGCGAGCCGGUCGCCGAUGGACCGUCUGACAGCACCUUCUCCAACAAGACGGAUAAGUCAAGCGGACGCGAGUCCAGCAAGACCUCGGACAGCAAGAAGAGCAAGAAGACCGAUGUGCGGGUCGACUUCUUUGACCCGCCCAGCCAGGAGAAGGAGUCCACGGCCACAGUCUCCUACGACAGUGACCUCUACAUUAAUCUGUGUGAAGCUCAAGUGUAAGCAUCCGCUGCUACCUUGACAAUGACUGUCUGAACUUAUGUUUUCACGGCCUUGCGUCUGCUGAUCACGAAGGCCAGACACUUAAAAUCACGAAGAAAGCAAGGUUCCAAGCAUUUCUAGAAAUGUACGUGAAUGCAACAUGUCGGUUCGAUAAUGGAUCAUGCGGAUUCUCAAGUUUCUCGAUACACCGAGCCCAUCACUCAUGUGGCUUGAGAUACCAUGUCGUACGCCUGAGGCGCGAUUCUACGCAUCCCAGUGUUUGCGCCUUCCAUUUUCAUACUAAAAUUGUUUUGGCCACUAACUUAUCACUCAUCUAAUUCUUUGGUGACCUUUGCUGCAACCUCGUCGUCGUCAUUAUCAUCUGAAGACGACAUGAUCUUGUGAGGGAACUGCCCCUCUAGUAGAAUUAAGAUAAAGCAACUCCUGUUCGUCUGUCAUGGCAGCGUCACUUGGCCAAAUUCUGAAACACAUCAACAUUUGCUACUUCAUCUGACAUUCACCUUGCGCAUUGGUGUGAACGUGCCUAAAUGUACUGCGUUUAACACUGUGGUCUCCACUGAUGUGACCCCAGUAGUCCCGGACAUUUUGCCCACGCUCUCAUCUGCAUGGCACCAUUUAGCCCCAGGGGGAGUGGAGGAACGAGCGAGCUGCCGAGGACAUGACUAAGGGCAAAGAUGUUGUCGUUAUAUUUUGCUUCAUUUACUGUCUAACAAAUAAAGAGUACGGGUGACCUUU